Molecule: ribosomal RNA, 803 nt
Filed under: Phaeobacter gallaeciensis
Lineage: Bacteria; Pseudomonadati; Pseudomonadota; Alphaproteobacteria; Rhodobacterales; Roseobacteraceae
Description: bacterial SSU rRNA
Rfam family: Bacterial small subunit ribosomal RNA
Source: RNAcentral
UCGAGCGCUCUCUUCGGAGGGAGCGGCGGACGGGUGAGUAACGCGUGGGAACGUGCCCUUCUCUAUGGAAUAGCCACUGGAAACGGUGAGUAAUACCAUAUACGCCCUUCGGGGGAAAGAUUUAUCGGAGAAGGAUCGGCCCGCGUUAGAUUAGGUAGUUGGUGGGGUAAUGGCCUACCAAGCCUACGAUCUAUAGCUGGUUUUAGAGGAUGAUCAGCCACACUGGGACUGAGACACGGCCCAGACUCCUACGGGAGGCAGCAGUGGGGAAUCUUAGACAAUGGGCGCAAGCCUGAUCUAGCCAUGCCGCGUGAGUGAUGAAGGCCUUAGGGUCGUAAAGCUCUUUCGCCAGAGAUGAUAAUGACAGUAUCUGGUAAAGAAACCCCGGCUAACUCCGUGCCAGCAGCCGCGGUAAUACGGAGGGGGUUAGCGUUGUUCGGAAUUACUGGGCGUAAAGCGCACGUAGGCGGAUUAGAAAGUUGGGGGUGAAAUCCCGGGGCUCAACCUCGGAACUGCCUCCAAAACUCCUAGUCUAGAGUUCGAGAGAGGUGAGUGGAAUUCCAAGUGUAGAGGUGAAAUUCGUAGAUAUUUGGAGGAACACCAGUGGCGAAGGCGGCUCACUGGCUCGAUACUGACGCUGAGGUGCGAAAGUGUGGGGAGCAAACAGGAUUAGAUACCCUGGUAGUCCACACCGUAAACGAUGAAUGCCAGUCGUCGGGUAGUAUACUGCUCGGUGACACACCUAACGGAUUAAGCAUUCCGCCUGGGGAGUACGGUCGCAAGAUUAAAACUCAAAGGAAUUG